This 440-nucleotide ribosomal RNA is filed under the name uncultured bacterium. RNAcentral's name for it is "partial 16S ribosomal RNA". It matches the Rfam family "Bacterial small subunit ribosomal RNA", at positions 338 to 795 of the family's 1533-position model. The record is from RNAcentral.
CCUAGGGGAGGCAGCAGUGGGGAAUAUUGCACAAUGGGGGGAACCCUGAUGCAGCAACGCCGCGUGGGUGAAGAAGUACUUCGGUAUGUAAAGCUCUGUCAGCAGGGAAGAAAAUGACGGUACCUGACCAAGAAGCCCCGGCUAACUACGUGCCAGCAGCCGCGGUAAUACGAAGGGGGCAGGCGUUAUCCGGAUUUACUGGGGGUAAAGGGAGCGUUGACGGUAAGGCAAGUCUGGAGUGAAAGCCCGUGGCUCAAGCACUGGACUGCUUUGGAAACUGUGUUGCUGGAGUGCAGGAGGGGUAAGCGGAAUGCCUGGUGUAGCGGUGAAAUGCGUAGAUAUUAGGAGGAACACCGGUGGCGAAGGCGGCUUACGGGACUGUAACUGACGUUGAGGCUCGAAGGCGUGGGGAGCAAACAGGAUUAGAUACCCGGGUAGUC